RNAcentral lists this ribosomal RNA (747 nucleotides) under Bacillus thuringiensis. Its description in RNAcentral is "bacterial SSU rRNA". It matches the Rfam family "Bacterial small subunit ribosomal RNA", at positions 57 to 786 of the family's 1533-position model. Lineage: Bacteria; Bacillati; Bacillota; Bacilli; Caryophanales; Bacillaceae. The record is from RNAcentral.
GCAGUCGAGCGAUGGAUUGAGAGCUUGCUCUCAAGAAGUUAGCGGCGGACGGGUGAGUAACACGUGGGUAACCUGCCCAUAAGACUGGGAUAACUCCGGGAAACCGGGGCUAAUACCGGAUAACAUUUUGAACUGCAUGGUUCGAAAUUGAAAGGCGGCUUCGGCUGUCACUUAUGGAUGGACCCGCGUCGCAUUAGCUAGUUGGUGAGGUAACGGCUCACCAAGGCAACGAUGCGUAGCCGACCUGAGAGGGUGAUCGGCCACACUGGGACUGAGACACGGCCCAGACUCCUACGGGAGGCAGCAGUAGGGAAUCUUCCGCAAUGGACGAAAGUCUGACGGAGCAACGCCGCGUGAGUGAUGAAGGCUUUCGGGUCGUAAAACUCUGUUGUUAGGGAAGAACAAGUGCUAGUUGAAUAAGCUGGCACCUUGACGGUACCUAACCAGAAAGCCACGGCUAACUACGUGCCAGCAGCCGCGGUAAUACGUAGGUGGCAAGCGUUAUCCGGAAUUAUUGGGCGUAAAGCGCGCGCAGGUGGUUUCUUAAGUCUGAUGUGAAAGCCCACGGCUCAACCGUGGAGGGUCAUUGGAAACUGGGAGACUUGAGUGCAGAAGAGGAAAGUGGAAUUCCAUGUGUAGCGGUGAAAUGCGUAGAGAUAUGGAGGAACACCAGUGGCGAAGGCGACUUUCUGGUCUGUAACUGACACUGAGGCGCGAAAGCGUGGGGAGCAAACAGGAUUAGAUACC